GACGAACGCUGGCGGCGUGCUUAACACAUGCAAGUCGAACGGUGAAAGGGAGCUUGCUCCCUGGAUCAGUGGCGAACGGGUGAGUAACACGUGGGCAACCUGCCCCAGACUUCGGGAUAACGCUUCGAAAGAGGUGCUAAUACCGGAUACGAACUCCUUGGGCAUCCUUGGAGUUGGAAAGUUUUUCGGUCUGGGAUGGGCCCGCGGCCUAUCAGCUUGUUGGUGAGGUAACGGCUCACCAAGGCGACGAAGGGUAGCCGGCCUGAGAGGGCGACCGGCCACACUGGGACUGAAGCACGGCCCAGACUCCUACGGGGGGCAGCAGUGGGGAAGAUUGCGCAAUGGGCGAAAGCCUGACGCAGCAACGCCGCGUGAGGGAUGACGGCCUUCGGGUUGUAAACCUCUUUCAGCAGGGAAGAAGCGAAAGUGACGGUACCUGCAGAAGAAGCACCGGCUAACUACGUGCCAGCCGCCGCCGUAA
Molecule: ribosomal RNA, 481 nt
Filed under: uncultured bacterium
Lineage: Bacteria
Description: partial 16S ribosomal RNA
Rfam family: Bacterial small subunit ribosomal RNA
Source: RNAcentral